UAAUACGAGGGGUGCUAGCGUUGUCCGGAAUUACUGGGCGUAAAGGGUCCGUAGGCGUCUUGUCAAGUUGAUCGUUAAAUCCACCGGCUUAACCGGUGAUCUGCGAUCAAAACUGGCAGGAUAGAAUAUGUGAGGGGAAUGUGGAAUUCCUGGUGUAGCGGUGACAUGCGUAGAUAUCAGGAGGAACACCAAUGGCGAAGGCAGCAUUCUGGCACAAUAUUGACGCUGAGGGACGAAAGCGUGGGGAGCAAACGGGAUUAGAUACCCUGGUAGUCCACGCCGUAAACGAUGAGUACUUGGUGGUGGGGGAUUCGACCCCUUCACUAUCGGAGCUAACGCGUUAAGUACUCCGCCUGGGGACUACGGCCGCAAGGCUG
Molecule: ribosomal RNA, 377 nt
Filed under: uncultured Deferribacteres bacterium
Lineage: Bacteria; Pseudomonadati; Deferribacterota; Deferribacteres
Description: bacterial SSU rRNA
Rfam family: Bacterial small subunit ribosomal RNA
Source: RNAcentral